UACGUAGGGUGCGAGCGUUGUCCGGAAUUACUGGGCGUAAAGAGCUCGUAGGUGGUUUGUCGCGUUGUUCGUGAAAACUCACAGCUUAACUGUGGGCGUGCGGGCGAUACGGGCAGACUGGAGUACUGCAGGGGAGACUGGAAUUCCUGGUGUAGCGGUGGAAUGCGCAGAUAUCAGGAGGAACACCGGUGGCGAAGGCGGGUCUCUGGGGCAGUAACUGACGCUGAGGAGCGAAAGCGUGGGGGAGCGAACAGG
RNAcentral lists this ribosomal RNA (255 nucleotides) under uncultured bacterium. RNAcentral describes it as "partial 16S ribosomal RNA". It matches the Rfam family "Bacterial small subunit ribosomal RNA", at positions 524 to 776 of the family's 1533-position model. The record is from RNAcentral.